GCCCUUAUAGCUCAGUGGUAGAGCGCAGCACUCGUAUUCUUAUAUUACAAGUUCAUGCUGAGGUCCAUCGUUCAAUCCGGUGUGAGGGCA
Annulohypoxylon maeteangense is the source of this 90-nucleotide non-coding RNA. NCBI's taxonomy places the organism in Eukaryota, Fungi, Ascomycota, Sordariomycetes, Xylariales, Hypoxylaceae. The record is from the annotation of a RefSeq genome assembly.